GGCAGCCGUCCGCCUUGACGGGGCUCGCAAGCUGGUGCCACCGCUGGGAGCCAACGACCCGCAGCACAUCAGGCUUCCCGCACCUGGUUCCUGGCCCUCUGUGGGUGGCAUCGGCAGCACCAGAGCCCCUUCCGGCGCUGCCCCACUGCCCACUCGCUCUCUCUGACAGGGCAGGGUGGGAUGGAGACCCUCAGGGCGAGGGGUGCGUGUGGAGAAGGGUGGCCUUGGACUGCUGGCUGGACCAGGGGGCUGCCUGCCCCAGCCUCCAACCCAGGCCCACUGCCUGGGCGAGAUUCUUUGUCUGGCCGAGCCCCAAACACAGGCCCAGGCCCUGGGGGAGCGCUCGGGGCAGCCCUGGCUCUGUCUUGGGGUACACAGAGGAGGCGGGGACACUCUCAGAGCCCUUCCCUUUCCCUGGUGCCUCCCCCCAAGAACAGGGCGGGUGCCUCUCUGCCAGACAAAGGGCCCCCGAGUGCCUGAGGCAGGGGGCUGGCCCGCGAGGAGGACCCUGGGCAGUUUUGCCCAGACAGGCUGACCAGGAAGUUAUUGGACAUCCUGGCUGGAUUGGGACUGCAGAGCUUUCGCCCUGCAGGCUGCCCUCCCACCCUCCAAGCCAGCUCUCCCAAACUCCCAGGAGGAGGAGGGCAGGGCAGGGUGGGGGGACCUGGACCCCCAAUACACCUCUCCCCUCACCCUGCUGGCUGAGACCUUUGGGCCCAUUGGAAUGUGGCACUCAAGGCAGGGGGGGGAGGGGGGAGCCAGGCAGCCUGUGGUUUCAUCCUGCUGAGCUGGAGGCGCUGAGCACAGCACGGCCUGUCCAGCUGCAGCGAGGAGCCGCUCCCUCGUGGGGCAAUCUCUGCUGACACCUCUCAGCGCUCCAGGGCUCCUCGUCUCCCCUCCAGGAGGAGGGAAAGGGACCCCCUCCCCACCCUGGGCAUGGGGGGGGCUUGGCAUGGCAUGUCCAAAGGCCUCCCUGUGUAGAAAUGCUUUGUCAAAGAGAGCACCCAGGGAGAGCCAGGUCACACGCACCCCAUCCAGAAGAAGACUGCGGUUGUCUGCCCAGGGGAAGCUUAUUCUGCACGAGGCCUGGAGACCUGAGACCCCCCAGGGUCAUCCUGUGACUCAAGAGGGGCAGGGAAUCCACCCCCCCUUCUGUCCCCCAGGAGGCUCCAGUGACCCACCUGGAGUUUCCCUCUUCUGCUCCCAGACAGAGCAGGGGAGGCCUCCUUUGUCUCCCUGCUUCCUUCCAUGGUGUCUCAU
Molecule: long non-coding RNA, 1260 nt
Filed under: Laticauda laticaudata (blue-ringed sea krait)
Lineage: Eukaryota; Metazoa; Chordata; Lepidosauria; Squamata; Elapidae
Description: lncRNA (ENSLLTG00000010615.1)
Source: RNAcentral